Non-coding RNA from Paramuricea clavata, 893 nucleotides. The record is from the annotation of a GenBank genome assembly. NCBI's taxonomy places the organism in Eukaryota, Metazoa, Cnidaria, Anthozoa, Malacalcyonacea, Plexauridae.
AGCACAAUCGCCUGGUGGAGAACCCCCUCACACCCCUAUCAUCCAAUAAAUAGAAAACAUGAUUAGGCGAAGUUCAACUCCCGAUGUUUUGCAAACAUCUCUCAGUAUAUAUCAAUUCAAAAGUGCCCUUUAACAAAAAUCUGCCCCCCUUGCCUUCACAUUGUUCCGGCGUCCCUGUGUAUAUAAUUAUAAUAAAUUCUCCCAAGCCCCCCCCCCCAGCCACGAAUAGGCCUCUGACUACAUACAGUAUGCGUUAUUAACCCUUUAAGUGGCAAUGCACUCUGAUGCACCCUAAUUCAGAAUUUUACUCUGUCUAAUGCCAGACAAGCAUACUGAAGCAUUCUUUCUCACGUCAUUGAUUUUUGUAAUGGGUCACUCCAGAAAACAUCCAUACCACCCCCACAGAGGAAAUAGGAAGCUAACCCCCCUACCCCCUUCGUAUGAUCCGUUCCCUGAUCAACUCAAGGCAGCACAUUUUAUUUUAAGGAGAAGGUUCUUUUAAUAUGUUCCAGGUAGGAAAACAGUAGAAAAGUUUGGUGAUCCCAAAAAGGCAUCAAUUUCCACUAACAAUGUUGAUUCUUAUGCAAGUUGGAAAAGGAAAGUUCUGGCCACUUUCAACCGAAAAUAGUGUAUGGAAUAAUGAAUGAAUUAGAUGUUAAUGAGUCUGAUGAUGAAAAUAUUGGAAGUGAAUCAGAUUAAAAGACAAAACCUUUACUGUACACACAUCCCACUCGUAUUUCAAUGUAGCAAUAAUUUUUUACAGUUGUGAAGGGUUGUUUUGUGGUAAAUCAUGGAUAAUAAAAUAAAUUUAUUUUAUUAUCCGUGGUUAAAUAGAGCAUGUACAUGUAAUUUAACUUGAAUUAAUCUGCUAUGACUAUGUAUGGACUCUCCAU